GUGUUUGCUUCAGCAGCACAUACACUAAAAUUGGGAUGCUCCAGAGAUGAGCAUGGCCCCUGUGCAAGGAU
This 71-nucleotide small nuclear RNA is filed under the name Myotis lucifugus (little brown bat). Lineage: Eukaryota; Metazoa; Chordata; Mammalia; Chiroptera; Vespertilionidae. The record is from RNAcentral.